UCCCUAGUGGUCUAGUGGUUAGGAUUCUGUGCUUUCACCGCUGCAGCCUAGGUUCAAUCCCUGGCCUGGGAA
Molecule: transfer RNA, 72 nt
Filed under: Sus scrofa (pig)
Lineage: Eukaryota; Metazoa; Chordata; Mammalia; Artiodactyla; Suidae
Rfam family: tRNA
About the family: Transfer RNA (tRNA) molecules are approximately 80 nucleotides in length. Their secondary structure includes four short double-helical elements and three loops (D, anti-codon, and T loops). Further hydrogen bonds mediate the characteristic L-shaped molecular structure. tRNAs have two regions of fundamental functional importance: the anti-codon, which is responsible for specific mRNA codon recognition, and the 3' end, to which the tRNAs corresponding amino acid is attached (by aminoacyl-tRNA synthetases). tRNAs cope with the degeneracy of the genetic code in two manners: having more than one tRNA (with a specific anti-codon) for a particular amino acid; and 'wobble' base-pairing, i.e. permitting non-standard base-pairing at the 3rd anti-codon position.
Source: Rfam by way of RNAcentral